Molecule: long non-coding RNA, 1047 nt
Organism: Hermetia illucens (black soldier fly)
Lineage: Eukaryota; Metazoa; Arthropoda; Insecta; Diptera; Stratiomyidae
Exons: 3
Source: RefSeq, a predicted model, not a curated record
UAUUCGAGACAGUUAAGAAUGGACCAGUGCACCGAGCAGGCUUGCACGGCCGUUAAAUCUUUGGAUUAUCUCAGUUUACGUUGGACCCCAGUGAUCUUAGAUAAGGAUGAGAUUCCGAUUAAGCUAUACUCGCCAUAGAGCCCGCACUACAUACACACGUCCGAGUGCUAAGAACCGAAGAACAGUGAGAAGUGAUGAGAAGGUCCAAGAAAGUUCGGAAGUCGGUUUCUAUCAAGAAUUUAGCGAAUUUUUUUAAAUUUUUGUUGCAAAAGUUGGGGCAGAACAUCUGAAAUCGGUGGAUAUUUAUCGGAAACGGCUGCAGAUAGUUUCAAAUUUGCUUCGGAAUAAGAAAGACUUCAGCAAUUGACAGUGAACCCGACAAAUUGCAACCCAUUCAAGGAAACAUACCCUGGAGCCAAUACAAGUACUCACCUCAUAUGGGUUCAUUCCAGCAGAUGAAAAGGAUGUAAUUAACAAGAUAAACAGCUCGCUGUGUUCUCCUGGAUUGAGGCUCCCAACUGCCCAAACUGAAACAACGAAAUUUCAGGGGUGCAUUCAUUUUCCUGUAUUUCAACACGUCAUUCUAUCCGCCGAUUGCCGUUUCCUAUAAAGACCAAAAUACAAAUUAAUAUAAAUGAUUAUUUUGUGAUAAAAACUUUUCAGGGCACAAAGUCGUUCCCAUACAGCGUUAAAUUGACAUUAGUUUGCUGCAGAGAGGGAGAAAGCCUUUCCAAGGAGACAUUUCAACUUUCUUUAUCGACUUAGUAUCUGAAGGCGAGAAAAAUUCUUUUCUAAGUACUAGUGCCGCAGGAGAUAUUUAAACCCCUGCUGCCCAAGUGCUUAUCAAAGAGUUUUAUGAAUUCAACGAGGAACAAUUGUUAUUAAUUCAACUUUAAAUGAAUAAGUUUUGUAUUUAUUGUUUGAACUGUGUAUUUGACAAUUUGAUAAUUGAGUGGAAUGCAGGAAAGCUUUUGAUUAAGAAGACUUACCCUGCAUAUUGUGCUCAUUAUCAAUAUGUUCAUUAUACAAUAAUUAUAUAUUCAAAUA